Molecule: ribosomal RNA, 1556 nt
Filed under: uncultured bacterium
Lineage: Bacteria
Description: bacterial SSU rRNA
Rfam family: Bacterial small subunit ribosomal RNA
Source: RNAcentral
AGAGUUUGAUCAUGGCUCAGGACGAACGCUGGCGGCGUGCCUAAUACAUGCAAGUCGAGCGAGCGGAACUAACAGAUUUACUUCGGUAAUGACGUUAGGAAAGCGAGCGGCGGAUGGGUGAGUAACACGUGGGGAACCUGCCCCAUAGUCUGGGAUACCACUUGGAAACAGGUGCUAAUACCGGAUAAGAAAGCAGAUCGCAUGAUCAGCUUUUAAAAGGCGGCGUAAGCUGUCGCUAUGGGAUGGCCCCGCGGUGCAUUAGCUAGUUGGUAAGGUAAAGGCUUACCAAGGCGAUGAUGCAUAGCCGAGUUGAGAGACUGAUCGGCCACAUUGGGACUGAGACACGGCCCAAACUCCUACGGGAGGCAGCAGUAGGGAAUCUUCCACAAUGGACGCAAGUCUGAUGGAGCAACGCCGCGUGAGUGAAGAAGGUUUUCGGAUCGUAAAGCUCUGUUGUUGGUGAAGAAGGAUAGAGGUAGUAACUGGCCUUUAUUUGACGGUAAUCAACCAGAAAGUCACGGCUAACUACGUGCCAGCAGCCGCGGUAAUACGUAGGUGGCAAGCGUUGUCCGGAUUUAUUGGGCGUAAAGCGAGCGCAGGCGGAAGAAUAAGUCUGAUGUGAAAGCCCUCGGCUUAACCGAGGAACUGCAUCGGAAACUGUUUUUCUUGAGUGCAGAAGAGGAGAGUGGAACUCCAUGUGUAGCGGUGGAAUGCGUAGAUAUAUGGAAGAACACCAGUGGCGAAGGCGGCUCUCUGGUCUGCAACUGACGCUGAGGCUCGAAAGCAUGGGUAGCGAACAGGAUUAGAUACCCUGGUAGUCCAUGCCGUAAACGAUGAGUGCUAAGUGUUGGGAGGUUUCCGCCUCUCAGUGCUGCAGCUAACGCAUUAAGCACUCCGCCUGGGGAGUACGACCGCAAGGUUGGAACUCAAAGGAAUUGACGGGGGCCCGCACAAGCGGUGGAGCAUGUGGUUUAAUUCGAAGCAACGCGAAGAACCUUACCAGGUCUUGACAUCUAGUGCCAUUUGUAGAGAUACAAAGUUCCCUUCGGGGACGCUAAGACAGGUGGUGCAUGGCUGUCGUCAGCUCGUGUCGUGAGAUGUUGGGUUAAGUCCCGCAACGAGCGCAACCCUUGUUAUUAGUUGCCAGCAUUAAGUUGGGCACUCUAAUGAGACUGCCGGUGACAAACCGGAGGAAGGUGGGGAUGACGUCAAGUCAUCAUGCCCCUUAUGACCUGGGCUACACACGUGCUACAAUGGGCAGUACAACGAGAAGCGAGCCUGCGAAGGCAAGCGAAUCUCUGAAAGCUGUUCUCAGUUCGGACUGCAGUCUGCAACUCGACUGCACGAAGCUGGAAUCGCUAGUAAUCGCGGAUCAGCACGCCGCGGUGAAUACGUUCCCGGGCCUUGUACACACCGCCCGUCACACCAUGGGAGUCUGCAAUGCCCAAAGCCGGUGGCCUAACCUUCGGGAAGGAGCCGUCUAAGGCAGGGCAGAUGACUGGGGUGAAGUCGUAACAAGGUAGCCGUAGGAGAACCUGCGGCUGGAUCACCUCCUU